GGCGGCGUGCUAUACAUGCAAGUCGAACGCACAGCGAAAGGUGCUUGCACCUUUCAAGUGAGUGGCGAACGGGUGAGUAACACGUGGACAACCUGCCUCAAGGCUGGGGAUAACAUUUGGAAACAGAUGCUAAUACCGAAUGAAACUUAGUGUCGCAUGAUACGAAGUUAAAAGGCGCUUUGGCGUCACCUAGAGAUGGAUCCGCGGUGCAUUAGUUAGUUGGUGGGGUAAAGGCCUACCAAGACAAUGAUGCAUAGCCGAGUUGAGAGACUGAUCGGCCACAUUGGGACUGAGACACGGCCCAAACUCCUACGGGAGGCUGCAGUAGGGAAUCUUCCACAAUGGGCGAAAGCCUGAUGGAGCAACGCCGCGUGUGUGAUGAAGGCUUUCGGGUCGUAAAGCACUGUUGUAUGGGAAGAACAGCUAGAAUAGGGAAUGAUUUUAGUUUGACGGUACCAUACCAGAAAGGGACGGCUAAAUACGUGCCAGCAGCCGCGGUAAUACGUAUGUCCCGAGCGUUAUCCGGAUUUAUUGGGCGUAAAGCGAGCGCAGACGGUUGAUUAAGUCUGAUGUGAAAGCCCGGAGCUCAACUCCGGAAUGGCAUUGGAAACUGGUUAACUUGAGUGCAGUAGAGGUAAGUGGAACUCCAUGUGUAGCGGUGGAAUGCGUAGAUAUAUGGAAGAACACCAGUGGCGAAGGCGGCUUACUGGACUGUAACUGACGUUGAGGCUCGAAAGUGUGGGUAGCAAACAGGAUUAGAUACCCUGGUAGUCCACACCGUAAACGAUGAACACUAGGUGUUAGGAGGUUUCCGCCUCUUAGUGCCGAAGCUAACGCAUUAAGUGUUCCGCCUGGGGAGUACGACCGCAAGGUUGAAACUCAAAGGAAUUGACGGGGACCCGCACAAGCGGUGGAGCAUGUGGUUUAAUUCGAAGCAACGCGAAGAACCUUACCAGGUCUUGACAUCCUUUGAAGCU
This 977-nucleotide ribosomal RNA is filed under the name Leuconostoc pseudomesenteroides. RNAcentral's name for it is "bacterial SSU rRNA". It matches the Rfam family "Bacterial small subunit ribosomal RNA", at positions 38 to 998 of the family's 1533-position model. Lineage: Bacteria; Bacillati; Bacillota; Bacilli; Lactobacillales; Lactobacillaceae. The record is from RNAcentral.